This is a long non-coding RNA of Mya arenaria, 1246 nucleotides long. RefSeq lists it as uncharacterized. The record is from RefSeq and is a predicted model, not a curated record. NCBI's taxonomy places the organism in Eukaryota, Metazoa, Mollusca, Bivalvia, Myida, Myidae. The transcript has 3 exons.
AUAUUCAUUCAUAUUUAAUUAUUAUUUAGACGUGCCUGGUAAGUUUAUUGCUCAUAGUUCUUAGAAUGUUUUAUGUAUUUAACCGCGAAGUCUCCCUUGAUAUAUUUACCGAUCACUGUCCAUUGUCUUUGUCUUUUGUGUUAUUAAUAAUAUGAUUAUGUUAGCAUAUACAUUUAUAUCUUUUAUUAUAUGUUUUAGGUUUCGUUCGACAACGUAUAAAUAAAUAAUAUUCGAACUCCGAAGUUGAGUGGUUUUGUCUUGGCACACCCACACUACAAAUGGCUCCCCGAUCGAGGUUGGCGUAGUCCAGAGCCAGGCCGUCGUGUCCUCCAGACCAGACGUUGAGGGGAUUUUGUCUGCGUUUUGACGCCCAGAAGAGGUCGAGAAGCCCAGCAUAUCCGCCGGCACCUCCGUAUUGAAGAGCUGGGUAUUUCUGCACAAGGGGCACGUUGACUGUACAUAGCAGCGUAAACAUAGUGACGUCUGGCGCCCAGUGAAAUGUUCUUCCGUGUUACAUAUACAGUUUUCAACAGAUAUGUACUCUGAUAUACUCGCGUUAGUUUCGAUGUUGAAGUGGUGGGACAUAUUAUUUGCUUUAACCAGUCAGCACCAGGUUCGCACCCGGGAUCGCUGUACGGACGUAUGCACCUUGUGUUGUCAACGUGUCGAUGCCAAAGACUCACACUCACAAGACUGGGUUUAUAUGCAUGCAUUUGUGACAGAAACAGAGAAAGGUGGUGGAAAAUUCCAUGCGUUUUAACCAUCCUGUUGGUUAUGCUAUACAGAAACUGCCAUUAGGACCAUAUCACAAUUUAAGUGGUCACCAGAUUCAAACCCUGUCUGGUUGUUCGGACGUUCGACCGACGCAUUACCAUGGUAACCAUGCAGAAGAGAUACAAGUACAUCUCAACAGAUAUGUGAGCAGAAAUACCCAUUGUUUAAGAUUUGUUACUUAUUAAGAUGCUUAAGUUUCCUUUUUCAAUUAAAGUUUUUAGAUAACUUCAGUUUUCUAUCAUUUGUACACGGAUAUGAGAUACAUGUACUAAUUACAGAACUUUAGGAUAUUGUCCAUAAAAGGAAGACAUUUACAAUUGCAUGUUUUUCACAGGUAAAGGUAUUUAUUGACUAACUUGACUUCCGGGCAGUUGAACAUGAUAUUUACCAUUUAUAAAUGUAAAGUAUAUGUACAGUACGGUACACAACAGAUAUGUGAGUAAAAACACAAUUACUUUUAAAAAGAUGCAAG